RNAcentral lists this ribosomal RNA (497 nucleotides) under uncultured bacterium. RNAcentral describes it as "partial 16S ribosomal RNA". It matches the Rfam family "Bacterial small subunit ribosomal RNA", at positions 28 to 507 of the family's 1533-position model. The record is from RNAcentral.
GAGGAAAGCUGGCGGCGUGCCUAAUACAUGCAAGUCGAGCGAACGGACGAGAAGCUUGCUUCUCUGAUGUUAGCGGCGGACGGGUGAGUAACACGUGGAUAACCUACCUAUAAGACUGGGAUAACUUCGGGAAACCGGAGCUAAUACCGGAUAAUAUUUUGAACCGCAUGGUUCAAAAGUGAAAGACGGUCUUGCUGUCACUUAUAGAUGGAUCCGCGCUGCAUUAGCUAGUUGGUAAGGUAACGGCUUACCAAGGCAACGAUGCAUAGCCGACCUGAGAGGGUGAUCGGCCACACUGGAACUGAGACACGGUCCAGACUCCUACGGGAGGCAGCAGAAGGGAAUCUUCCGCAAUGGGCGAAAGCCUGACGGAGCAACGCCGCGUGAGUGAUGAAGGUCUUCGGAUCGUAAAACUCUGUUAUUAGGGAAGAACAUAUGUGUAAGUAACUGUGCACAUCUUGACGGUACCUAAUCAGAAAGCCACGGCUAACUACGUG